RNAcentral lists this small nucleolar RNA (79 nucleotides) under Gorilla gorilla gorilla (western lowland gorilla). Its description in RNAcentral is "Small nucleolar RNA Me28S-Am2634 (ENSGGOG00000038596.1)". Lineage: Eukaryota; Metazoa; Chordata; Mammalia; Primates; Hominidae. The record is from RNAcentral.
UGUGAACAAUGUGAUUGAUAGUUUGGUAGGAAUCUCAUUGAAUCUGUAAAUUGCUUUGAACAGUAUGGCCAUUUUCACA